UGGGGAAUAUUGCACAAUGGGCGCAAGCCUGAUGCAGCGACGCCGCGUGAGCGAAGAAGUAUUUCGGUAUGUAAAGCUCUAUCAGCAGGGAAGAAAAUGACGGUACCUGACUAAGAAGCUCCGGCUAAAUACGUGCCAGCAGCCGCGGUAAUACGUAUGGAGCAAGCGUUAUCCGGAAUUACUGGGUGUAAAGGGAGCGUAGACGGAUUUGCAAGUCUGAUGUGAAAGGGCGGGGGCUCAACUCCUGGACUGCAUUGGAAACUGUAGAUCUUGAGUGCCGGAGAGGUAAGCGGAAUUCCUAGUGUAGCGGUGAAAUGCGUAGAUAUUAGGAGGAACACCAGUGGCGAAGGCGGCUUACUGGACGGUAACUGACGUUGAGGCUCGAAAGCGUGGGGAGCAAACAGGAUUAGAUACC
This 415-nucleotide ribosomal RNA is filed under the name uncultured bacterium. RNAcentral's name for it is "bacterial SSU rRNA". It matches the Rfam family "Bacterial small subunit ribosomal RNA", at positions 355 to 786 of the family's 1533-position model. The record is from RNAcentral.